GAUGAAGAACGUAGCGAAAUGCGAUACUUGGUGUGAAUUGCAGAAUCCCGUGAACCAUCGAGUCUUUGAACGCAAGUUGCGCCCGAAGCCGUCAGGCCGAGGGCACGCCUGCCUGGGCGUCACACGCCGUUGCCCCCCCGCGCCCCGCACCCAACUCUUUGGGAGCGACCGCGGGGCGGGCUGAUGAUGGCCUCCCGUGCGCUCCGCCGCGCGGUUGGCCCAAAUACCGAGUCCCCGGCGACGUGCGCCACGACGAUCGGUGGUUGAGAGACCUCUGUCGCAAGUCGUGCGCGCCCGUCGCGUCACGCGGGCUCGCAUAGCGCCUCGCGCCGCACCCGGUGCGGAGCUUUCAACGCGACCCCAGGUCAGGCGGGGUUACCCGCUGAAUUUAAGCAUAUCAAUAAGCCGAGGA
Molecule: unclassified non-coding RNA, 412 nt
Filed under: soil metagenome
Description: partial contains 5.8S ribosomal RNA, internal transcribed spacer 2, and large subunit ribosomal RNA
Rfam family: 5.8S ribosomal RNA (bases 1-122)
Source: RNAcentral